This 69-nucleotide transfer RNA is filed under the name Ictidomys tridecemlineatus (thirteen-lined ground squirrel). RNAcentral's name for it is "Spermophilus tridecemlineatus (thirteen-lined ground squirrel) tRNA". It matches the Rfam family "tRNA". Rfam says of the family: Transfer RNA (tRNA) molecules are approximately 80 nucleotides in length. Their secondary structure includes four short double-helical elements and three loops (D, anti-codon, and T loops). Further hydrogen bonds mediate the characteristic L-shaped molecular structure. tRNAs have two regions of fundamental functional importance: the anti-codon, which is responsible for specific mRNA codon recognition, and the 3' end, to which the tRNAs corresponding amino acid is attached (by aminoacyl-tRNA synthetases). tRNAs cope with the degeneracy of the genetic code in two manners: having more than one tRNA (with a specific anti-codon) for a particular amino acid; and 'wobble' base-pairing, i.e. permitting non-standard base-pairing at the 3rd anti-codon position. Lineage: Eukaryota; Metazoa; Chordata; Mammalia; Rodentia; Sciuridae. The record is from Rfam by way of RNAcentral.
GGUGUUGUAGCUCAGUGGUAGAGUGCUUGCCUCGCAUGUGUAAUACACUGGGUUUGAUCCUCAACACCA